RNAcentral lists this ribosomal RNA (408 nucleotides) under Enterobacter hormaechei. Its description in RNAcentral is "partial 23S ribosomal RNA". Lineage: Bacteria; Pseudomonadati; Pseudomonadota; Gammaproteobacteria; Enterobacterales; Enterobacteriaceae. The record is from RNAcentral.
ACCUCGAUGUCGGCUCAUCACAUCCUGGGGCUGAAGUAGGUCCCAAGGGUAUGGCUGUUCGCCAUUUAAAGUGGUACGCGAGCUGGGUUUAGAACGUCGUGAGACAGUUCGGUCCCUAUCUGCCGUGGGCGCUGGAGAAUUGAGGGGGGCUGCUCCUAGUACGAGAGGACCGGAGUGGACGCAUCACUGGUGUUCGGGUUGUCAUGCCAAUGGCACUGCCCGGUAGCUAAAUGCGGAAGAGAUAAGUGCUGAAAGCAUCUAAGCACGAAACUUGCCCCGAGAUGAGUUCUCCCUGAGACYUURAGUCUCCUGAAGGAACGUUAAAGACGAUGACGUUGAUAGGUCGGGUGUGUAAGCGCAGCGAUGCGUUGAGCUAACCGAUACUAAUGAACCGUGAGGCUUAACCUU